This is a non-coding RNA of Misgurnus anguillicaudatus (oriental weatherfish), 5569 nucleotides long. The record is from RefSeq and is a predicted model, not a curated record. Lineage: Eukaryota; Metazoa; Chordata; Actinopteri; Cypriniformes; Cobitidae.
UGAUGGAAGUGAAAGAGGAGAGUCAAGCUGAAGUGGAUGAGAAACAUCAGAUUGUAAAAAUAAAUCAUAAUGUUUCACAGAAAGAAACUCUGAAGACAGAAGACAUAAAGUGUGAAAAUAGUUUCAGAGAAGAUGAACGCCCUGCAGAUCACAAGAGGACUCACAGUGAGAAGAAACCUUUCACAUGUCAACAGUGUGGAAAGAGUUUCAGAAGAAAAGAUCACCUUAAAGCACACAUGAUGAUUCACACCGAAAACAAAAGACACGUGUGUCAUCAGUGUGGAAAGAGUUUUACAACUGCAGGUGAACUUAAGAUACACAUGAGGACUCACACUGGAGAGAAACCUUACACUUGUCAUCAAUGUGGAAAGAGUUUCACCUCUCAAUCAAGCCUUAACCGGCACAGGAAAACUCACAGUGGGCAAAAGCCACACGCGUGCCAACAUUGUGACAAGAGUUUCCCAGAUACAAGUAAACUUAAGAUACACAUUAGAGUUCACACUGGAGAGAAACCAUUCACGUGUCAUCUGUGUGGAAAGAGUUUUAUAAAAAAAUGUUACCUUAAUGUACACCUAAGUAGUCACACUGGAGAGAAACCAUACGUGUGUCAACAUUGUGGAAAGAGUUUCAGGACAAAAACAAACCAUAAUGUACAUUUGAUCACUCACACUAAAGAGAAACCGUUCACAUGCCGUGAGUGUAAAAAGAGUUUCAAAAAUAAAUGUAACCUUUUAACACACGUGAGAAGUCACACUGGAGAGAAACCUUACAUAUGUCUUCAGUGUGGAAAGGGUUUCACAAGUGACUUCAAUCUUAAGAGACACAUGACAAUUCACACCGCAGAAAAACCGUUCCCAUGUCAACAGUGUGGAAAGAGUUUUAGAAUAAGAGCUGACCUUAAUGUACACCUAAGAAUUCACACCGGAGAGAAACCUCACGUGUGUGAUCAGUGUGGAAAAAGUUUCAGGACGAAACCAAAACUUACUGUACAUUUGAGCACUCACACUGAAGAGAAACCGUUCACAUGCCAUGAGUGUAAACAGAGUUUCAAAACAAAAGCUACCCUUAAAAUACACAUGAGAAUCCACACUCAAUAAAAAUCAUUCAUGUGUCAACAGUGUGGAUAUGGCAACAAAGUUUAUAAAUCAGCUGAGGUCUUAUUAAUAAAACUGUCUGGAGUAUCCUUACUAAAGGUCUACAUGCGCACAAAAGCCAAAAAUGGCAUACGGCAAAAAAAUAGCUCAAUAGUUGUUCUUGUCUGUACUUGUGUUCUUGUGAAACGUCAUUAGUUGCGGCCCAAGUACUGUUCCAAUUCCAAGUUCACAUCAAGUCAAGUUCACAUAACAUCUCAGGAUGUGUUCUUGAUCCACUCAUUUUUGGGCGACACAGUGCCUCACAGCAAGAAGGUCCCCGGUUCGAGCCCCGGCUAGGGCAGGUGGCCUUUCUGUGUGGAGUUUCUGCAUGUUCUCAGUGUCAGCGUGGGUUUACUCCGGGUACUCCGGUUUCCUCCCACAGGCCAAAAACGUGCAAGUUAGGCAAAUUGGAGAUACCAAAUUGUCCCUCCCCCAACCUGUGUAUGGAUCAACUUGUCUGAAUAAAACUUGUGUAUGGAUUAACUGGUUCUCGCCAUGAAUAUAGCCGUAGAUGCUGGAAUGGCGUUAAGAAGUAAAGGAAGAAGAAGAAGAUCCGCUCAUUUUAUCGAGGAUGCAUCAGGAGGUGUAUUGUGUGCACUUACGACAGCCAAGUUUCACAGAAUGCAUUUUGCGUCAACGGCAACGGAGCUUAAAACCGGCACAAUAUUUGAAAUAUUACUCUUUCUGUGUCAUAAAAUGCAACCGUUUAGUUGAUGAGUAUAGAUGAAUAAACUUCAAAUCUGUGGUCAGUUUCCUCUGUCAGUGCAAUGUACACCGCCAAGGGCAGCCUAAAAGUAUCUGAUGGUCAAACAUUAAAUUUUCUCUUUGGAUAUAUCUAACCGGCAUUUUUUGGUCUUAUCAAUUUAUUUCUCUUUAUUAUUCAUAUGAAGUCUGUUAUUUGUUGUUAUCGUUUUAACUGAUGUUAAAGUUAAGUUUCAUUACUUAAAUCACAUAUAUUUUCUAUAUAAUCUUAACACUGUAUCACUGCCUUUGUAUUUUAACUAGAUUUGUUUCUUGUGUUUCCUUCAUGUUGUACAAAUGUUUUGUACUUUAUAAUAAAUGGUUGUGUUUUAUAUCAUAUUUCAUUUUGUAGUAAAUACAUUAAUCAGUGUACUUGUUGCCUGAACCACAUAUUUGUAUUUUCUAAAUGAAAACAAGCAAGGUUUUUGCAUUUUAUAUAAUUUGUUUUAUCGCAAAAAUACAUUAAAAUAACCCAAGGCUACACGUAUUGGUGAGACCGAAUGACGACCUCAAGUAGGUAGCCUACUCUGCUGUUCAUUUGCUAUUUAAAGGUGCAGUGUGUAAAUUUUAGCAGCAUCUAGUGGUGAGGUUGCGAAUUGCAACCAACGGCUCAGUCCCCUGCUUACCCCUUGCUUUUGAAAUGCAGAGAGAAGCUACGGUAGCCACCACCAGAAAAAAACGUCAUCGUCGGAGACAACUUAGUUAAAAAGUUUGUCCGUUAAGGGCUUCUGUAGAAACAUGGCGGCACAAAAUGGCGACUUCCACGUAAGGGGACCCUAUGUGUAUGUAGAUAAAAACGUCUCAUUCUAAGGUAAUAAAAACAUAACUGUACAUUAUGAAAAGGUAUUUAUACACCCCUGAUAAUAUAGUUUUGUAUAUUAUUUUGCAUUUCUGUCAAGAGAUCCUUCUAAAAAUUACACAUUGCACCCUUAACAUAACAUAACCAUUAAAUGAUAAAUACGCACAGUAAUUAAGGAAAAUAUUUUGUUAUUUACACUGUGUUCUGCAGUUAUCUAAUGGGUAUUUGAUGCUGUAUUACAUCUCCUCCUGCGCUCCCCUGAUGAAGACAGCGCUGAUUAAAUAUAAGAAAUAUUGAUUUAAGAUUGGAUUUUACAAGAUGUAUGUGAAAUAAUUGUAACUCUGUACAAGCACAAAUGACUGCUAAAUUUAAUAAUGACUUCAUGAUAAUGUGGAUAUACCCGUGUGAAAUGUAUAAUUGUGUGUAAUGAAUAAUUGACGACGGGCCGUUGAAUUAUUGGAAAAUAAUGCACACCCAAGGUGUUAAUGCGUUCCCUUGACGUUCUCAUAACAUUCUGAUAUUGUUCCCUAACCUUUUUAUUGUGAUAUGCCUGAAUGCAAAUAAUCUGAAUAAAUAUCAUGUGUUAAAAAGUGUUUAUUAUUCAGAGAACAUGAACUGGAGCUUGUUUUUAUAAAAAAACAUCAGCAUUACCUUUUGUAUAGUUAGCGCUGUGUUUUAUAAAAUAUAUAAAUAACCUAUGACUUCAACACAAUAUAUGAUUUAAAACCGAUAUUGAUUGACAGAUAAAUACAUUUUACACAUAUUACCACAGUAGUUACUCGCUCAUCCGUCUUUAGAUACAACAAUUAAUCAAAAGCUUCUCCCUUACAUUGCAUUCAAUGUGUCAAAUUGAUAGGAAAUCAUUCAAAUAUAUUUUUGUUUAGUCAUAUUUAAUUUACUAAAUGAAGAAAGAGAUUAAAGAAUAUGCUAAAAUCAUGUGCAGUCUAACGCACUUCUCGUGCGGCAUUAUUACCAUCUUUGUUGUGAAUUAUAUAAAAUGAGUUAAGCUUUUUGUAAACUCGCAUGAGUUUACAUGGCUGCUGCCUUCAGAAAAUGUUGAAAUAUUUAAAUAUUUUCUUCUAUUAUAGAGGUUAUUUUUACUGCUAAAUUCAGAGGCCAAGUAUAUGUUUUGUACUAGUUUAUUAUACGGGAUAAUUUUGUGUUUUUUAUUUCCCUGCACGUCUGUGCUUCACACUCCAGUACAGCAGGAGGCGGUAGUGCACCAUAAGUUGGUUUGCCAACCGCCAUAAAACUCCAGAAGAAGAAGAUUCGAAUCAAAAGACUCGUAAUGAUUUGAAGCCUCACGAAUCAGUGUUUAAAGCGAUCACCACUAGAGCCUGAUGUUUUCAGUCACGUGUAAAAUAAUCCGUCUUCGAUUAUUUUAUUGGUUUGUCAACAGAAGACAGGAUUUCUUAAUACGCUAACCGUUAGCAGUGAGAUGAAGUUGAAAAUCUGACCCGGACUCACUGUUGUCUCUGGAGCAGGGAUCCAUUGUCCGGACAGCGUCAUAAACAUCUCCUGACUCAUACAGUUGUGUACUUUGAGUUCACACCCAUAAAGUGAAAGUGAUUGAGACCUUCAGUGAAGCUCCUCCUACAACAAUCCACCAAUAAAUGCUGGAGUCAAACACACAGAGAAAUCACUCCAUGUGUGACAACUGAAAUCUUCAUGACAUAAUGUUGAUGCUGGUGAAAGAGGAGCUUGAGAAGAUGACAGAUCCACAACCAUGCAGAAUAAAGCAAGAAGAUACUGAGGAACAAAUAGAUAUGAUGGAAGUGAAAGAGGAGAGUCAAGCUGAAGUGGAUGAGAAACAUCAGAUUGUAAAAAUAAACCAUAAUGUUUCACAGAAAGAAACUCUGAAGACAGAAGACAUAAAGUGUGAAAAUAGUUUCAGAGAAGAUGAACGCCCUGCAGAUCACAAGAGGACUCACAGUGAGAAGAAACCUUUCACAUGUCAACAGUGUGGAAAGAGUUGCGCCUCUAAAUCAGGCCUUAGCCGGCACAGGAAAGCUCACAUGGGGGGAAGUCCACAUGCGUGCCAGCAUUGUGACAAGAGUUUCCCAUAUAAAAGUGGACUGAAGAUACACAUGAUGUCUCACACUGGAGAGAAACCUUACACUUGUCAUCUGUGUGGAAAGAGUUUCACAAGUGAAAACACUCUUAAGAUACACAUUAGAGUUCACACCGGAGAAGGAAUGUUCACUUGUCAACAAUGUGGAAAGAGUUUUAUUAAAAAUUUUUACCUUAAUGUACACCUAAGAAUUCACACUGGAGAGAAACCAUACGUGUGUCAACAAUGUGGAAAGUGUUUUAAAAUGAAAUGUGACCUUAAUGCACAUGUGAGAAUUCACACUGGAGAGAAACCAUACGCGUGUCAACAGUGUAGAAAGAGUUUCAGGACAAAACCAAACCUUAAAGCACAUUUGAGAACUCACACUGAAGAGAAACCGUUCACAUGCCAUGAGUGUGAAAAAUGUUUCAAAAAUAAAAGUAGCCUUAUAACACACAUGAGAAGACACACUGGAGAGAAACCUUACGUGUGUCAUCAAUGUGGAAAGGGUUUUAUAAAAAAAUGUCCCCUUAAAAGACACCUGAGAAUUCACACUGGAGAGAAACCAUACGUGUGUCCUCAAUGUGGAAAGAGUUUCAGGACAAAAGCAAGCCUUAAAGCACAUUUAAUCACUCACACUGAAGAGAAACCGUUCACAUGCCAUGAGUGUAAAAAAAGUUUCAAAACAAAAGCUUACCUUAAAAUACAUGCAAGAAUCCACACUCGAUAGAAACCAUUAAUGUGUCAACAGUGUCUUUGUACUUUAACCUUUUUUUACUUGUGUUUACUACAUAUUUGUACAAAAUAUUUGUACUUUUAUAAUAAAUGGUUGUGCUUAACAUCAUA